RNAcentral lists this ribosomal RNA (455 nucleotides) under uncultured bacterium. Its description in RNAcentral is "partial 16S ribosomal RNA". It matches the Rfam family "Bacterial small subunit ribosomal RNA", at positions 28 to 523 of the family's 1533-position model. The record is from RNAcentral.
GAUGAACGCUGGCGGCGUGCCUAAUACAUGCAAGUCGAGCGGUAACACUUCGGGUGACGAGCGGCGAACGGCUGAGUAACGCGUGAGAAUCCACCCCAAAGUGAGGGAUAAGCAUCGGAAACGGUGUCUAAUACCGCAUGUGGUCUUCGGAUUAAAGUUUUAUACGCUUUGGGAGGAGCUCGCGUACGAUUAGAUAGUUGGUGAGGUAAUGGCUCACCAAGUCGACGAUCGUUAGCUGGUCUGAGAGGAUGAUCAGCCAGACUGGAACUGAGACACGGUCCAGACUCCUACGGGAGGCAGCAGUAAGGAAUCUUCCACAAUGGGCGAAAGCCUGAUGGAGCAACGCCGCGUGCAGGACGAAGGCUUUCGGGUCGUAAACUGCUUUUGUUAGCGAAGAAUUUGACGGUAACUAACGAAUAAGGAUCGGCUAACUCCGUGCCAGCCGCCAGCGAUCA